Molecule: ribosomal RNA, 1821 nt
Filed under: Cistella acuum
Lineage: Eukaryota; Fungi; Ascomycota; Leotiomycetes; Helotiales
Description: eukaryotic LSU rRNA
Rfam family: Eukaryotic large subunit ribosomal RNA (bases 475-1821)
Source: RNAcentral
GGAUCAUUACAGAGAACAUCGCCCUCACGGGUGACUCUCCAACCCUAUGUUAUUAAAACCUUUGUUGCUUUGGCGAGCCGCUUCGGCCACCGGCGUCUGCUGGUGUGCGCUCGCCAGAGGACCACAAAACUCUUGUAAUUAAUGUCGUCUGAGUACUAUAUAAUAGUUAAAACUUUCAACAACGGAUCUCUUGGUUCUGGCAUCGAUGAAGAACGCAGCGAAAUGCGAUAAGUAAUGUGAAUUGCAGAAUUCAGUGAAUCAUCGAAUCUUUGAACGCACAUUGCGCCCCGUGGUAUUCCGCGGGGCAUGCCUGUUCGAGCGUCAGUACAACACUCAAGCUCUGCUUGGUCUUGGACCGCAUCAGUUCUGAUCGGUCUUAAAAUCAGUGGCGGUGCCAUCGUGCUCUAAGCGUAGUAAUACUCCUCGCUACAGGGUCCCGGUGCGUGCUUGCCAGCAACCCCCAACUUCCAAGUUUGACCUCGGAUCAGGUAGGGAUACCCGCUGAACUUAAGCAUAUCAAUAAGCGGAGGAAAAGAAACCAACCACGGGAUUACCUCAGUAACGGCGAGUGAAGCGGUAACAGCUCAAAUUUGAAAUCUGGGUCUUUCAGGCUCCGAGUUGUAAUUUGUAGAAGAUGCUUCGGGUGUGGCUCCGGUCUAAGUUCCUUGGAACAGGACGUCAUAGAGGGUGAGAAUCCCGUACGUGACUGGUUGCCUUCGCCCAUGUGAAGCUCUUUCGACGAGUCGAGUUGUUUGGGAAUGCAGCUCAAAAUGGGUGGUAAAUUUCAUCUAAAGCUAAAUAUUGGCCAGAGACCGAUAGCGCACAAGUAGAGUGAUCGAAAGAUGAAAAGCACUUUGGAAAGAGAGUUAAACAGUACGUGAAAUUGUUGAAAGGGAAGCGCUUGCAACCAGACUUGCACGCUGCUGAUCAUCCGGGGUUCUCCCCGGUGCACUCGGUUGCGUUCAGGCCAGCAUCGGUUUGGGUGGUUGGAUAAAGGCCUUGGGAAUGUAGCUUCUUUCGGGGAGUGUUAUAGCCCUCGGUGCAAUGCAGCCUACCCGGACCGAGGACCGCGCUUCGGCUAGGAUGCUGGCGUAAUGGUUGUAAGCGACCCGUCUUGAAACACGGACCAAGGAGUCUAACAUCUAUGCGAGUGUUUGGGUGUCAAACCCAUACGCGUAAUGAAAGUGAACGGAGGUGAGAACCCUUAAGGGUGCAUCAUCGACCGAUCCUGAUGUCUUCGGAUGGAUUUGAGUAAGAGCAUAGCUGUUGGGACCCGAAAGAUGGUGAUCUAUACUUGAAUAGGGUGAAGCCAGAGGAAACUCUGGUGGAGGCUCGCAGCGGUUCUGACGUGCAAAUCGAUCGUCAAAUUUGAGUAUAGGGGCGAAAGACUAAUCGAACCAUUGGCGUUGCUAGGUGGUUAAGAGGGGUGUUCAAAGCACCUACUAGUCCUCUGUUGCAGGCAACACUAUCAAAUUGCAGGGACCUCCCCGCAAAAAACUGAGCUACCGCAGCACUGCCGAAAAGGCGUGCGCGCACCAGGUUAAUCACCUUGGGGAUGGUAACAACGCUCAGUUUAUGGAAUAUCUGCAGCCAAGUCCUAACGAUGAAAAUCCAUGGAUGCAGUUCACAGACUAAAUGGUAGUGGGCCGGGUUCCUCGAACCCGGUUUAAGUUAUAGUCGAACCCCCGAGAGAUCGGGGCAGUCAGGAGGAAUACGCAGGGGAACAAUUGGGCCCCCCAAUCCCUGCGUAGGAGAGCCUGGCUGGAGGAAGCGUGGGGUGUCGCUUCCCUUGGGUAGUCCCCGAGAACCUGGGGGUGUUGG